Molecule: ribosomal RNA, 460 nt
Filed under: uncultured bacterium
Lineage: Bacteria
Description: partial 16S ribosomal RNA
Rfam family: Bacterial small subunit ribosomal RNA
Source: RNAcentral
CCUACGGGCGGCAGCAGUGAGGAAUAUUGGUCAAUGGACGAGAGUCUGAACCAGCCAAGUAGCGUGAAGGAUGACUGCCCUAUGGGUUGUAAACUUCUUUUAUAUGGGAAUAAAAUGUUCCACGUGUGGGAUUUUGUAUGUACCAUAUGAAUAAGGAUCGGCUAACUCCGUGCCAGCAGCCGCGGUAAUACGGAGGAUCCGAGCGUUAUCCGGAUUUAUUGGGUGUAAAGGGAGCGUAGGUGGAUUGUUAAGUCAGUUGUGAAAGUUUGCGGCUCAACCGUAAAAUUGCAGUUGAAACUGGCAGUCUUGAGUACAGUAGAGGUGGGCGGAAUUCGUGGUGGAGCGGUGAAAUGCUUAGAUAUCACGAAGAACUCCGAUUGCGAAGGCAGUUCACUGGACUGCAACUGACACUGAGGCUCGAAAGUGUGGGUAUCAAACAGGAUUAGAUACCCUAGUAGUC